GCCGUGAGUCGACGAAGGGAGCGCGGGCGCGCGCCCGCGUCCGCGCACUGAGAGUCGCCUCGGCCGCUCGCUUUCUCGACUCCCGCCUCGCGCCUCGAUCCUGUUCCGCCUCCCUCGGCCCUCCUGCCCGCCCCCACUCGUCGGCCCUCAGGUUCCUGGAAAGUGAAAAUUUCAUUUCUUUGUGGACAGCUCAGAGACCUAAUAGGAUGGGGUCUUAGAGAAACAUCUUUUGAGCCACAGACUUCUUUGUUACCAGAAGGAAAAUGAAAGAAGAAAUUUAAAUACCACUUGAAGAGAGUUUCCUCAUCAGCAAAGUCAGAAAAAGUAUGUACCUGAAGGACUGAUUGUAAGGCUGGGAUGAGAGAAUCCAUGUGAUCAGCCCUCACCAACAGGUGCUGCCCAGUUCAUGAGUGCUGCUGCUGUCCUGCCCAAGUACCCAGCUUGCAGAGUGCCAGAGUUAGAGUCCCAGGGGUGUUCUCCACAGCUGCAUGCUUGAUCCAGGCCUAUCAGGUGUUAUUUGUUGACGGAACCAGGCAUCAUCAGCAAACAAAACUGACAAAGCUUCCUGCCCUCUGUGGAAGGCAUCUGAGGAAGAGACUGGAUUUUGUAGCAACAUGUUAUUCUCAUUAUAAACUUUAUCAUUGGAAUACUAAAGCCAAAUCAUCCCCCAUCUCCUUGAUCAGGAUACCCACUUAAUCUAGGCAGCUACACAAUUGUGAGAGCCUUUGUUUUUUUCUGCUGAAACAUCCUUAAAAAGAUACCUCACAACCCAAGAUUUGGCUUUUCUUAAAUACGAUUUUUAAUUUUUUUCAUUUCUAUCUAGAGAUUUAAUUGGAAAUGGAAAAUCAUCAAUUUUCCAAUUAAAUGUCUGUUCCAAUCAACAUUAUACCUUUUAGGUUGUCAUUGUCAUUUUUAAGUUUAAGCAACUUUAAGGAUUUUGAAUCUGGCUGCCUGUAAAUUAAAGGUGAAAGUAAUCAUUGUGUUGGAUUGGAACAUUUUGUCAAUUGAGAGUGGUUUCCUUGUUCUUAGUGUAUGAAAAGUUUAUUUUUCUAAUGUAGAUUAAUAAAGGAGAUAAAGAAAAACAAAA
RNAcentral lists this long non-coding RNA (1087 nucleotides) under Homo sapiens (human). RNAcentral's name for it is "synapse stability regulating cerebellar lncRNA". The record is from RNAcentral. Lineage: Eukaryota; Metazoa; Chordata; Mammalia; Primates; Hominidae.